UCCCUGGUGGUCCAGUGGCUAAGACUCUGUGCUCCCAAUGCAGGAGGCCUGGGUUCAGUCCCUGGUCAGGGAA
Molecule: transfer RNA, 73 nt
Filed under: Bos taurus (domestic cattle)
Lineage: Eukaryota; Metazoa; Chordata; Mammalia; Artiodactyla; Bovidae
Also listed under: 2 other names
Rfam family: tRNA
About the family: Transfer RNA (tRNA) molecules are approximately 80 nucleotides in length. Their secondary structure includes four short double-helical elements and three loops (D, anti-codon, and T loops).
Source: Rfam by way of RNAcentral